RNAcentral lists this ribosomal RNA (459 nucleotides) under uncultured bacterium. RNAcentral describes it as "partial 16S ribosomal RNA". It matches the Rfam family "Bacterial small subunit ribosomal RNA", at positions 338 to 795 of the family's 1533-position model. The record is from RNAcentral.
CCUACGGGAGGCAGCAGUGAGGAAUAUUGGUCAAUGGGCGCGAGCCUGAACCAGCCAAGUCGCGUGAGGGAAGACGGUCCUAUGGAUUGUAAACCUCUUUUGUCGGGGAGCAAAAGACGCCACGCGUCGCGUUCCGAGAGUACCCGAAGAAAAAGCAUCGGCUAACUCCGUGCCAGCAGCCGCGGUAAUACGGAGGAUGCGAGCGUUAUCCGGAUUUAUUGGGUUUAAAGGGUGCGCAGGCGGAAGGUCAAGUCAGCGGUAAAAUUGAGAGGCUCAACCUCUUCGAGCCGUUGAAACUGGUUGUCUUGAGUGAGUGAGAAGUAUGCGGAAUGCGUGGUGUAGCGGUGAAAUGCAUAGAUAUCACGCAGAACUCCGAUUGCGAAGGCAGCAUACCGGCGCUCAACUGACGCUCAUGCACGAAAGUGUGGGUAUCGAACAGGAUUAGAUACCCCGGUAGUC